RNAcentral lists this ribosomal RNA (406 nucleotides) under uncultured bacterium. RNAcentral's name for it is "partial 16S ribosomal RNA". It matches the Rfam family "Bacterial small subunit ribosomal RNA", at positions 28 to 526 of the family's 1533-position model. The record is from RNAcentral.
GAUGAACGCUAGCUACAGGCUUAACACAUGCAAGUAGAGGGACCGGCGCACGGGGGAGUAACACGUAUCCAACAGGCCCUUUACUCGGGGAUAGCCUUUCGACAGAAAGACUAAUACCCGAUAGAAAGGAAGGGGAUGCGUUCCAUCAGGUUGUUGGUGAGGUAACGGCUCACCAAGCCUUCGAUGGAAAGGGGUUCUGGGAGGAAGGUCCCCCACGUUGGAACGGAGACACGGUCCAAACUCCUACGGGAGGCAGCAGUGAGGAAUAUUGGUCAAUGGGCGCUAGCCUGAACCAGCCAAGUAGCGUGAAGGAUGAAGGCUUAUGGGUCGUAAACUUCUUUUAUAUAAGAAUAUGUAUUAUAUGAAUAAGGAUCGGCUAACUCCGUGCCAGCCGCCGCGGUAAUUC